CCCUGUUUUCUGUGCUCCUUCGAGCUUGCUGUUUGUCCGGGUUUUUUACGUUUUAAUUUCCAGGACUUGAACUGCCAUGUCCUCUGAAGAAGGAAAGCUCUUCGUGGGAGGGCUCAACUUUAACACCGACGAGCAGGCACUGGAAGACCACUUCAGCAGUUUCGGACCUAUCUCUGAGGUGGUCGUUGUCAAGGACCGGGAGACUCAGCGGUCCAGGGGUUUUGGUUUCAUCACCUUCACCAACCCAGAGCAUGCUUCAGUUGCCAUGAGAGCCAUGAACGGAGAGGUAGUAGAGUCUGCAGACCUGUGGGCCUGGCCCGGAGAGGACCUCGUGAGUCUUCUGACAUGGACUCUGAAGCCUCAAACCAAGAGAGGUGUCUGUCUAGCCCUGAUAGUCGGGCAGCUUAGAGGAGUGGGGAGGAGAACUCAGCCUGAGUUCAGUCAAGAUUCUCUGGAUGGUCGUCAGAUCCGUGUGGAUCAUGCAGGCAAGUCUGCUCGGGGAACCAGAGGAGGUGGCUUUGGGGCCCAUGGGCGUGGUCGCAGCUACUCUAGAGGUGGUGGGGACCA
RNAcentral lists this small RNA (567 nucleotides) under Pongo abelii (Sumatran orangutan). Its description in RNAcentral is "processed transcript". The record is from RNAcentral. Lineage: Eukaryota; Metazoa; Chordata; Mammalia; Primates; Hominidae.